Elaeis guineensis (African oil palm) is the source of this 568-nucleotide long non-coding RNA. RefSeq lists it as uncharacterized. The record is from RefSeq and is a predicted model, not a curated record. NCBI's taxonomy places the organism in Eukaryota, Viridiplantae, Streptophyta, Magnoliopsida, Arecales, Arecaceae.
CGAUUGUUAUAAAAGCCAAAGCUUGGUAGAAGGAUCAUCGCACAUCAGGAGAACGAGGUAGAGAGGGAAUAAAAGGAAAAUGCUUCCAAAGACGUUCCUCCUACUCUAUCUGCUCCUCCUCUCCACCUCAUCCAUUCCAUCGGGGAUGGCUGCCAGGAAUCUUGCUCAGGAUGGGACCGUGGACCAGAGGACUUUCGUCGGAUAUCCUGUCACAUAUAAUCGUCGACCCCUGGUCCCGAAAUCACCCGCGGGGCAACCUUAUCCUCGACCCCCGGUCCCGAAAUCACCCGGAGGGAAACGUCACCGUCGUCGAUGCAAGAAGAUCCAUAACCAUAAGUGUCGUCCCCCGGUCCCAUAGCUUCAGAGUAAAGCACGGGGCAUACUACCAGUGGCUGCUGCGGCCGGUCCAACCCCUUGAAAUGGACGUAUGAACUAAAAUAAGCGGCAGCAUAAUGGAGGUCGUGUUCGGUUAAUCUGUUGUACGUGUACGGUGCACUAAUGGCAAAUGUAUUAUAGCGCCUUUUAAAGUUCCGUUCUAUGGUCCCUCUUAUCCACUUCUUUAUUGCUA